CGGGGCGUAGCUCAGCCUGGUAGAGCACAGCGUUUGGGACGCUGGGGCCGGAGGUUCGAAUCCUCUCGCCCCGACCA
RNAcentral lists this transfer RNA (77 nucleotides) under Rhodovastum atsumiense. RNAcentral describes it as "tRNA-Pro". It matches the Rfam family "tRNA". Rfam says of the family: Transfer RNA (tRNA) molecules are approximately 80 nucleotides in length. Their secondary structure includes four short double-helical elements and three loops (D, anti-codon, and T loops). The record is from RNAcentral. Lineage: Bacteria; Pseudomonadati; Pseudomonadota; Alphaproteobacteria; Acetobacterales; Acetobacteraceae.